CCUACGGGUGGCUGCAGUAGGGAAUCUUCCGCAAUGGACGAAAGUCUGACGGAGCAACGCCGCGUGAGUGAUGAAGGUUUUCGGAUCGUAAAACUCUGUUGUUAGGGAAGAACAAGUACCGUUCGAAUAGGGCGGCACCUUGACGGUACCUAACCAGAAAGCCACGGCUAACUACGUGCCAGCAGCCGCGGUAAUACGUAGGUGGCAAGCGUUGUCCGGAAUUAUUGGGCGUAAAGCGCGCGCAGGCGGUUUCUUAAGUCUGAUGUGAAAGCCCCCGGCUCAACCGGGGAGGGUCAUUGGAAACUGGGGAACUUGAGUGCAGAAGAGGAGAGUGGAAUUCCACGUGUAGCGGUGAAAUGCGUAGAGAUGUGGAGGAACACCAGUGGCGAAGGCGACUCUCUGGUCUGUAACUGACGCUGAGGCGCGAAAGCGUGGGGAGCGAACAGGAUUAGAUACCCUGGUAGUC
Molecule: ribosomal RNA, 466 nt
Filed under: uncultured bacterium
Lineage: Bacteria
Description: bacterial SSU rRNA
Rfam family: Bacterial small subunit ribosomal RNA
Source: RNAcentral